AUUCAAAAUGGUCUGGUGCUAACAAUACUUUAAAAAUUAAAUACAAUUAAAAACCCUCAAAUACAGCAUCCUCUUUAAGACAAUUAGGUCAUGCAACUCUUUGGGUAUGUGCUUGAUGACGUAAUGACAUUGUAACAUAACAUGCAGCUCAAAAACUUCAAUUUUGCAUAAUACCUUAUUUAUACCUGCAUUUAAUGAUUAUCCUGAGUUCCUGUCUGCAUUUUGGUCUAACUCCAACACCACCAUUCAUAAGUUUUCCUAUAUUUGUGUUGACCUUUCACAUAAAUCCCUAUUGAGGUAAACUGAAGGAUGUGGUUAUAAUGUGACGAAAUGUGAAAAUGUUCAAGGAAUGAAAAGAUUUAUGAGGCACUUUAUGCCAUAAUAUUCAAGCUCAAAUAUUUUAAUGAAUAGUUUGUUUUUACUAACACAGCUGGACAAUGUGUUAAGAAUGGCCAUGUUUGAUCUAAACUGUUGUGCCUACAUUUAAAGGGGAAAAAAAUUUAAUUUCUAAGGAAGUGAAACUGACUUGUAAUACUUUUUGUCAGAGGGCCGUAGGUUCAUCUCUGAGGACCGAAAGGAAGGAGAUGUCUAUGACACGCUACACUUAGAGACCCGCAGUCAAAACACAGAGAAACUGAGUGUUGGCCAGGCAGCCACAGUGCUGCUCAAGAUCCUGCAGCAAGCCAGAGAGGGAGGUGACCACUCAGGCUGACUGCUUGUUUUCUGGUGUUGUUCCAAAAGUUAUUUGCUGUUCUGUUCUCCAGAACUGGCCGAGGCUUUUUCAUGCUAUUGUGCUUAAAGUUCUAUGAUAUGAUGUUUGUCUCUUUUUUCUCUCCUAGCCGAUGAAGCUCCAGAUGAGAUGUAUUUCCCAGUGUGGAAGAGAGAAUACUUCUGACAUCAACAAUAAUCAUCAUAUUUCAUCAUUUUUGUAUUUGUGUUUGGUGCAACACUGUCAAAAAUCUGCAUUGUAAAUAUGAAUUAUCUCACUGUGUUUAAAAUGAUAUUUUAAUAAACACUUGGGGAUUAUUGCA
This is a long non-coding RNA of Xiphophorus hellerii (green swordtail), 1031 nucleotides long. RefSeq lists it as uncharacterized. Lineage: Eukaryota; Metazoa; Chordata; Actinopteri; Cyprinodontiformes; Poeciliidae. The transcript has 2 exons. The record is from RefSeq and is a predicted model, not a curated record.